Prunus persica (peach) is the source of this 649-nucleotide long non-coding RNA. RefSeq lists it as uncharacterized. The transcript has 3 exons. The record is from RefSeq and is a predicted model, not a curated record. Lineage: Eukaryota; Viridiplantae; Streptophyta; Magnoliopsida; Rosales; Rosaceae.
UUUUGGGUUAAACUUAAUAUUGUUGGUUGAUUUGUUUGGAUUAUGUAUUUCCUGAGGAAGCUGAAGAAGGUCAAGAAGAGCAAUGGCUAAGUGCUUGCCAUUAAUGAGGUUUGUUCUCUCUGCCAUUUAUACUUUAUUUUUUUUUUCUAAUUAAUAAAUUUGUACCCAUUUUGAUUAUUUGUCAGUGUCUAAUGUAGUAAAUGUUGUUUUGCAAUGGGGAAGUGGUUCCUCCUCAACUCUCCUCGUGGCGAAAUCCAAUUUGUUGCCAAAGGUCUCGCCUUUUACCCCAAAGCGUCACUCUUUUAUCACAUUUAUUUCGCUUUUUUCUAAUUUUGUUUCAAUCAUUUGAAUCGCAUUUUGCAUUUGAUGUUUGGCUUUGGUGGCAGAUGUGAAGGAGGCUGCGUCAGAGGCAUCCCCUCGAAAUGCCCGGUUGAAUUGGAGACCUUGCAGGGCUUGGAUUGUGCAUCGAGUACUGAAGAGCUUGGAUUGUGCAGCAAGUACUGAAUUUGUUGUGGCACUGGAACACCAAGGAGUUUGUAAGUGAAAGGAGCUGCCAGCAAAGGGCUAAUCUUCUACAAGUGGUGACUCAGAUUUUUGUUUUUUAGGAAGAGGAAGAAAAAGUAAAAACGGGCAUCCAACAUUCAAAAAC